Long non-coding RNA from Passer domesticus (house sparrow), 476 nucleotides. RefSeq lists it as uncharacterized. The record is from RefSeq and is a predicted model, not a curated record. NCBI's taxonomy places the organism in Eukaryota, Metazoa, Chordata, Aves, Passeriformes, Passeridae. The transcript has 3 exons.
UUCAGUUGGAAAGAAUCCCAGGGACAGCAGUGUAACCAGUGUGAGGUUUAGGAAUUAGUCUAAGGUUAGCUGUCAUGCAGAGCUGUAGGUAUUAUAUUGCCUUGCGAGGGGGUCCUGCGUGGUGAUAAGACCACAACCUUUAUCAUCCUGGCACAAAGAAUAGCUGAGAGAGUGGAAGGAAUUCCAGUGGCCUUCUCUCAGGAUUUGCAUGGCCCCGUGACCAAAUAAAAUGGGAGAAAAAGGAUGCAGCAGCAUUUCCACAUCACCUUCCUGCCUUCCAAGCACUGAGGAACCUGUCUGAAAGCAAUGACCUUAACUGCACUCUCUCUUCUGAAACAGAUUCUGUUUGAUGGGGAGAAAGAGGCGAGGAGACAGAUCUGAUUCAUGGAAUAGUUCCGGUGGUGAGGAUGAAAACCAGUCUGCCCCUGGCUUCUGAAAGCAUUCCACUUGGUGUGAAGAAAUAAGCAUUAAUAAAG